Molecule: long non-coding RNA, 761 nt
Filed under: Parus major (Great Tit)
Lineage: Eukaryota; Metazoa; Chordata; Aves; Passeriformes; Paridae
Description: lncRNA (ENSPMJG00000005287.1)
Source: RNAcentral
CUCGUGUACAGCUGUUCUGGCCCUGCUCUGCCUGUGGGCCUCAGCCAGCGAUCCUGAGCUGCAAUCUGCAUCAGAGCAUGUGCCCUCAGCAGGGAUUUUUCUCAUUAACUGAUGCUGAAGUUCUGUUUCCUAUGGAGAGUGCCAGCAUGAGCAACGAGGGGCCAGAGAAUCCCAUCGCAUCUACACUGACCGAGGGCAUGAAGAGGAAGAGGGGGAGACCAAAGAAGAAGCCACAGGAGGAUGGUGGAAACACAGCUGUUAUCCCACAGGAUGGUGUGGAACCACAGCCAGUGAAGAAACCACGAGGAAGGCCAAAAGGAAGCAAGAAACUGACUACUAUAACUGGGGGAAUGAAAGAUCCUUCUGCUGGGAAAAGGCCAAGAGGGAGACCCCGCAAGUGGCCUCAAGCAGUGGUCCAAGAAGGAGAAUCUGAGGGUGGGAAUCCUCUGGAAAGCAGUGACUCGAAUUUGAACUCUGCACCAGCCACACAAGGUUUGAAAUUAAAUAAUUAUAAUUACACGAGACUAAACAGUGGAGCCAGCGCUCUGGCCAACCAUGCACAAGGCUCUAGCACUGGCUGCAAUCGUUCUGGUAAAUCCCAUAAACAGAGGAGCAUUUGGAAAGUUUUUCUUCCAUCUAAUUCAGUUGUGACUGCUUCAGCAGAAGUGGAGGUAGGAAAAAAGAAGAAAAUCUGUCUGUCUGUCUUUCCAAGAAGUCACACAUCUGAGGUUCUGGUUGCUGGUAGAGGUACAGCUCAGUGA